GAAGAUGUCUGAGACCAUGGACCAGUUUGAACGCCAGUUUGUGAAUAUGGAAGUACAGGCGGAGUUCAUGGAGAGCUCGAUGGCUGGAAGCACUUCUCUUUCGACUCCAGAAGGAGAGGUCAACAGCUUGAUGCAGCAAGUUGCGGAUGAUUAUGGUCUGGAGGUGUCUGUGGGCUUGCCACAACCUGCUGCUCACGCAGUGCCAACCAAGAACACUGAGAAGGUUGAGGAGGAUGACCUUUCCAGGCGCCUUGCAGAUCUUAAAGCCCGUGGGUAAGUGAAAGUUUCAUGGUUUGUAGUAAUUCUUUUUGUCUAUGACACACUGCAAUUUCGGAUUGAAUCUGUAAAUUUGACUGGAUUAUAUCUUGUGUUUUCU
Molecule: long non-coding RNA, 376 nt
Filed under: Lactuca sativa (garden lettuce)
Lineage: Eukaryota; Viridiplantae; Streptophyta; Magnoliopsida; Asterales; Asteraceae
Description: long non-coding RNA (LSAT_LNC003897)
Source: RNAcentral